This 319-nucleotide ribosomal RNA is filed under the name uncultured eukaryote. RNAcentral's name for it is "partial 18S ribosomal RNA". It matches the Rfam family "Eukaryotic small subunit ribosomal RNA", at positions 1470 to 1796 of the family's 1831-position model. The record is from RNAcentral.
CCCUUAGAUGUUCUGGGCAGCACGCGCGCUACAAUGGUCUUCGCAAACGGAUGCAUUCUCGAAGGAGAAUGCCAAUCUUGGAUUCUAUGCCUUGGUCGGGACAGUUGCUUGCAAUUUUUCGACUCGAACCAGGAAUUCCUUGUAAUCGUGAUUCAUCACAUCACGAUGAAUACGUCCCUGCCCUUUGUACACACCGCCCGUCGCUCCUACCGAUCGAAGAGUUAGGUGAAUUGUUUUGAUCGAUAAGAUUUGACUAUGGUCAACUCUCGUUGUGAAAUUCUGUGAAUCUGACUGUUUAGAGGAAGGAAAAGUCGUAACA